Non-coding RNA from Nicotiana tabacum (common tobacco), 1335 nucleotides. Lineage: Eukaryota; Viridiplantae; Streptophyta; Magnoliopsida; Solanales; Solanaceae. The record is from RefSeq and is a predicted model, not a curated record.
GACUUGUUUGGAUACUCACCUCUAUAAAUGUGCCUAGGCCAUAUUGUGUGCAGGUCUUUAUCCCAAUGUAUCUGCCAGAGAAGAAGGCAUUGCUACAACUGCUCUUGGGAACCUAAAACAAAGUGCAGGUCUUUCAGCAAAGAGUAACCCUGCAUGGUAUGAUGGAAGACGCGAAGUUCACAUUCACCCUUCGUCAAUCAACUCUAACUUAAAAGAUUUUCAGUACCCAUUUAUCGUCUUUCUUGAAAAGGUAGAGACUAACAAGGUAUUUUUGCGAGACACCACCGUUAUCUCUCCUUAUACUAUACUUCUUUUUGGUGGCCCAAUAAACAUUCAGCACCAGACUGGAAGAGUUACCAUAGAUGGAUGGUUAGAAGUUGCAGCACCAGCACAAACAGCUGUUCUAUUUAAGGAACUCCGGCUAACUCUUCAUGAUAUUCUCAAGGAGCUUAUUCGUAAUCCUCAGGUUUCCCUGGUGACUGAUAAUGAAGUUCUCAGAUCUAUAGUCCAGUUGCUAUUGGAAGAAGAUAAACAAAGAAAAUAACCGCUUAGCCUUGGAUCGGGUGAUCAAUAUAUGCCCCUCACCUAGCAGAACACCUAGGAGCUCAACCUUUUCUACUAUUAGAAAAGGAAACUUGCUGAUUGAUGGACUAUCUGGACUCUGGUCCUGGAUCAGGUGGUGGACUUUCUGGUUGCUGAUCUCUCCUGGGUCAGGUGGAUAAAAGGAGUGGGACAUAAUUUGUUCUUUGGUUAAUGAAUUAUGAAUCAUCAUGCAUGAUGGGUCCUGCUACCCACCCUGCUAUGCUUUCAUAAUUAAUAUAGCAUUUGACAGAAAUCACAGAGAUCAAAUAUGUAUGUUUUUCCAAAAAGCUAAUGAAGGAACCAUGUAAACUGUAUCACCAAAAUGCAGCGUUUAAGGCAAUUGCUGCUGCAUUAUUGUUUUCCUAUGGUAAUUGACAUCUGAAUUGGUGCCCAGCUUUUGUUGAGAAAGCGUUAUGUCUCUUUCUUUGCAGUACCAACGGUGCCUUUAAUCUACUACUAAUUGAAGGAGAGAAAAUCAAUUUCCCUGUCACAAUCUUUCGUUCCAGUAACAGCCUCUUAACUAGCCUACUAUCAUGUAUGGACCACGUUGAAAUGCUUGUCUCAUUAAAUUGGCUUAUCAAAAUUUAUCACGCAAACACAAGUGAGCCGUUGACAAUUGUUUACUAUUUUGAGGGGACAAGUCUGGAUUGGUUGACUAGAGUUACCAUUCUUAAUCAUGUUAUUAAAAUGGUUCUUAUGUUUAAUAGUCCAUAGCUUUUUACACUAGCAUCAGGGAUUUUGCAGCUUAUAACA